This 1129-nucleotide long non-coding RNA is filed under the name Marmota monax (woodchuck). The record is from RNAcentral. Lineage: Eukaryota; Metazoa; Chordata; Mammalia; Rodentia; Sciuridae.
AUUAAUGAGUCUAGGUAAAACAUCUGCACAGUUUUGUUCCUUGUCCCAAGUCUUUCAUUUCUGUUUUAUAACUGUAAAAUAGAUGUUGGCAUAUGAAAUAGGCAGAAAAAUCUGGAGUUGCUGUUUCUUGACAUAGCCAGUGAUGGUACUUGCUUGUUCUUCUGUCAGCAGGUUUUCAAACAGUGCAUAGGGAAAUUGGGGAAGCAAAUACAAUAGGAAGGGUGGUCCCGUUGGAGAUUUCAGAAUCCUUAUAUCAAUGAAUAUUGUUUGAUGAACAGGUGUAAUCUGGUGAAACCUCUGCUUUUGUAAAAUCCUGUAUGAAGUUGUUCACUUUUAUUUCUAUUUAUUUUAUUUUAACAUGGAUUUUUAUAAAUCUAAUAGCAUAUUGUUCUCUCUGCAGAGUUUUAUAAUUUAUUUGGAAAUAUUUUAAAAUUUCCCUUGUGAUUUUUUUCCCCUUGAUCCUAGGAUUGUAUAGAAGUGUGUUGUUUAAUUUCCAAAUAUAUGAGAUUUUUCUAGAUAUCUUAUUGAUUUCUAAUUUAAUUUCACUGUGGUCAGAGAUAUUCAGUCUCUUUAAAUGUAUUCUUAUACUAUAUCUCAGCAUAUGGUCUAUCUUAGUGAAUAGUCUUAUAUGUACUUGAAAAUUGCAGUUGUGAAUAAAGUGUUCUCUGUGUAUUAUUAAUCCAUUUUGUAUCAAUACAAUGAAAUACAAAGAUAGACUGACUUUGUAAAGUAAAGAGGUUUAUUUAGCUCAUGGUUUUGGAGGCUGAAAGGUCAAAUAGCAUGGUGCAGUCUUGGGCGAGGACCUUUCUGGUCUCAUAAAGCCAUCAAUAUUCAGUCAUAGUGGUCCCACCACAAUGACUUUAUCUAAUCCUAAUUAUCUCCCAAAUGGCCUACCAUUAAAUUCCAUAGUCUCAUUAAAUUUCUACCCAGUGGGGAUUAAAUUUCAUCAUGAGUUUGGUGGGAGAGUGGGUUCACAAACAAUUUUUAAAUUAUAGAACCAUAUAUGUGUCAUUUAGGUCAGAGUGGUUGAGUUUUGGUUAGAUCUUCUCUUAUCUUUUUUGUUGUUUUUAACUUAUUGAGUUUGUGGGGAUGUUAUUUGUUUGUUUUUGGCCAAGUUGUAACAGUUACU